RNAcentral lists this ribosomal RNA (277 nucleotides) under uncultured Glomus. Its description in RNAcentral is "partial 18S ribosomal RNA". It matches the Rfam family "Eukaryotic small subunit ribosomal RNA", at positions 548 to 832 of the family's 1831-position model. Lineage: Eukaryota; Fungi; Glomeromycota; Glomeromycetes; Glomerales; Glomeraceae. The record is from RNAcentral.
UUGGAGGGCAAGUCUGGUGCCAGCAGCCGCGGUAAUUCCAGCUCCAAUAGCGUAUAUUAAAGUUGUUGCAGUUAAAAAGCUCGUAGUUGAAUUUCGGGACUAGUACGUUGGUCGUGCCUUAGGUACGUACUGGUGUUACUGGUUCCUACCUUCUGACGAACCAUUAUGUCAUUAAUUUGGUGUGGUGGGGAAUCAGGACUGUUACUUUGAAAAAUUGAGUGUUUAAAGCAGGCUCGCGCUUGAAUACAUUAGCAUGGAAUAAUGAAAUAGGACGUUG